UGUGCAGAACCAACUGUCUCCACCUCACCCGUCGCAUUGCCCCUCCCUUACUGUGCACCUUCAUUACCCCGUACAACUAUCUAAAGGGUAGGCGAAGAUAAAGGAACACCAAAAUCAUUGAAAAUAGCUAGAUUUCCUUUUAAUUGUCCUUUUGCUUUACUUAGCAGGCCAUGUUUUAAUUAGGAGAGCUCCUUAAACCACACGGUGGCAGUGUAAUCACGCGAGUGAGUCUCAGCGCAUCAGCCUACGGCUCUGAAGCCCUGAUAAAUUAAGAGAUGAUCCGGAAAGCUAUGCAUCUGGGAUUCUGAUAACAAUCAACGGUCCAUAAGUGGCAGUAACUGUAUCUCCUGCCUUGCUGGUCUUUGGCAGUGAAAUUUUGCAACUCUUCCAAACAGAGAGUAGAAUCCCUUUGUCUACCUCACCAAAUCUGGUUCGCCUUGGGAUGCAUCAUAACCAACAGGAAGAGGUUGCUGGAAGAAAGUCACUUUGCUGUUUGGAGAAGUCGCUGCUGAUAAGCUAACUGAGGUUACUGCUGAUUGUUCAGGGUGCUGCUCCCCAGUACCACUGAAACAAUUCUUAAGUGACUAUUCACGUGCAGUUCUGCUGCAGGCCUGGAGUGGGGAUCUCAGAAGCCGUUCCCAAUAAAGUAUAUUCAGCAGCUGCUUUAAGGAAAUGUUGUCAGAAUAAAUUAAAUUUACCCAGGCUGAAAACGGGACCGCUAACAGCAGUGGCCAAGAAGACAAGGUUCAAUAAUUGUAUUGCCCCCCCCCCUUCUCAGUUUCCUCACCUGCAACGGGGGAUCAAUAAAAACAUCCCCAC
Alexandromys fortis (reed vole) is the source of this 819-nucleotide long non-coding RNA. RefSeq lists it as uncharacterized. The record is from RefSeq and is a predicted model, not a curated record. NCBI's taxonomy places the organism in Eukaryota, Metazoa, Chordata, Mammalia, Rodentia, Cricetidae. The transcript is spliced from 5 exons.